Carassius gibelio (silver crucian carp) is the source of this 1676-nucleotide long non-coding RNA. RefSeq lists it as uncharacterized. The transcript is spliced from 4 exons. The record is from RefSeq and is a predicted model, not a curated record. NCBI's taxonomy places the organism in Eukaryota, Metazoa, Chordata, Actinopteri, Cypriniformes, Cyprinidae.
UCUUGGGGUUGUUGUACUAACUGAAGAUAUCAGAUUAGAAGACUGAAACUAACUCGUUUAAAAUUCUUAUAUAUGCAUAAAGCCAUUCUGAGUGUUUUGGGCUGUACAAUACGAUUAUAUCAGGGCAGGAAAACCCCUCGUUGAAUAUCUGGCUUAUUCUUCUUUUGGCCUUGAUCGUUCUCCCAAAAAUCUUCUUUUAACAAUGCAAUUGAGGAAGCGGAGGCACACCAAAAGUGGUUAAAUGUGGUCUGGCUUGCCAGUGCACGGGCUGUGAUGGACUUCCUCUGCAAAGUAUUUCAUUUUGGACACAGUCCCUUUCUAAACACAGCGCACCUGGGACAACAGCUUUGGUUCCAGACCCAGUGUUAAUCAGCAGCAAUGCAUGCCUGCCAGCGGCUCGUAUAUACAAUUAAUAUUGUGCCCUGACUUUUAACAGCCGAUAUUGCGGCUCUUAUGAAAACAGAAUACCGCAGAGUGCCACGACUCCAGCGUUUAGCCGAAGCAGUAUGACAAAAUUUUUACAGAAAUCUUCCUGAUUGCUGAAAGGAUCUCAAAGAAUUUGCAGGGAAAGUGGCAAAGAAAAAUAUUUAAGCAGCCCUAAUGCAUUCUUUCAUGAGCUGUGGUGUGUCCAUUGCCUGGGCAAUAAGACAAAACAUACCCUACAGAAUCUGACGGUUGUCUCUUUGGGAAGACAAGUCAUUUUCACAUGAAGGUAUCCAUGACUAGGCCGUCUUAGUGUUUGACAUUCCAGUAUUGAUUCCACUCUGAGGGUGUGGAGGGGAUUUCCGCCGUAAUCUCCAGUGAAAGAGGUGCGUGCCGUGCGCUGGAAACACACUCACAAGCUAAUUCGAGGCAAAGUAAAGCUCUCAUCUGGGAUUGGUAAGAGUCUCUCCAAGCACCCCAAAGACUUCCAGCUCAUUCUUGAUUGCACAUGGCAGCCUCUGACCUGUACCGAAGGCACCCGCUGCCAUGGAAGAUUGAUGAUUAUCGAUGCAGAAACCCUUUGCUAAUUCAGCGUACAAGCAUUCGUCGGCAGUGGUAAUCCGCUUCCUAUGGAGAAGGCCGAGGGGGUGUGUGAAAGCAGGCUGUGUGUCAUCCCUUCAGCUCUGACAGAGUUCCUGGAAGGAAAGGAACCACCUUCUUGGGGGGGAUACCCAGCCAUGUGGAAGUGGGAGUUGAAUUAUACACAAAAGUUCUUUUAAGUCAGUGAUCAAUCAGACUCUCUAGCUGCAACUGCACAUUAUCAAGCACCAGGUCCUCAGUAUCAUGCCACGCUCUGAGAACUUACAGAGAAUGAUGGGACUGAUCAGACAUAGUGUUGGGAGGCCUUGACCUUUCAAAAGGAAGUUGCGCUUGAUCCAAGUGUUUUCCAGCACCUGCAAAAUGUCAACCUGUUUAGAUUCAAAGCAGAGACACUGAUAGGACCAUCUGGACCUUCACUCAUGACAUCCAGCCACAGUCCGUGUUCACGGCUAGCCCACUCAGAAAAUGGAUCAGCCAAGACCUCAUUUGUUACUUUUUGACUAGCACAAGGUGAAAGAUCCACUCAAAAAAGAAGAAAAAGAAAAGGCAAUUGCUAUCAGGCUUAAUCUUCAGUUGACUGUCUAAAAAACAUUAACACAUUCUUGACUCCUACUCUCAUGUGGUAAAACGCCUUCAGUAAAAGGUUUUUUUUA